GUGGAUUAGAUACCCUGGUAGUCCACGCCGUAAACGAUGUUCACUAGGUGUUGGGGGUAUUGACCCCCUCAGUGCCGGAGCUAACGCAUUAAGUGAACCGCCUGGGGAGUACGGUCGCAAGACUAAAACUCAAAGGAAUUGACGGGGGCCCGCACAAGCGGUGGAGCAUGUGGUUUAAUUCGAUGCAACGCGAAGAACCUUACCUGGGCUUGACAUCCCGGGAAUCCCCUGGAAACAGGGGAGUGCCCUUCGGGGAACCCGGAGACAGGUGCUGCACGGUCGUCGCCAACU
This 291-nucleotide ribosomal RNA is filed under the name uncultured bacterium. Its description in RNAcentral is "partial 16S ribosomal RNA". It matches the Rfam family "Bacterial small subunit ribosomal RNA", at positions 773 to 1060 of the family's 1533-position model. The record is from RNAcentral.